UCCUUUCAGCAUGGCCGGAGGAGAGGGUUACGGGCAGUCGCGUGACACGCACGGAUCGAACAUGUAUCUCUGUGUUGCAGGUAUGGAGAUGUUUUUAUGUUUUGGAGAUGCAGUCUUUCAUUUAUUGUUCUUAUAAGUUGUUUUGAUGUUUUUUAGUGACAUAUUGUUUAUUUUGUGCUUUUUGUUUUUUGAGAGUUUAAGUCAAUGUUUUGAAAUAAUUUGUUGUAUUUGGUUCGUUACAUUAAUGUACAUUAAGGACACAGCUCCUUUCAGCAUGGCCGGAGGAGAGGGUUACGGGCAGUCGCGUGACACGCACGGAUCGAACAUGUAUCUCUGUGUUGCAGAUGUGCAGUAAAGAGCCAAAGAUUCGACACUGUCUCCUGCCUCUUGCUUCAACACCAAAACACAACGCAGAACAGCAGGCGUAACAAUUAGACGGGUUACACA
Long non-coding RNA from Astatotilapia calliptera (eastern happy), 447 nucleotides. The record is from Ensembl. Lineage: Eukaryota; Metazoa; Chordata; Actinopteri; Cichliformes; Cichlidae.